RNAcentral lists this ribosomal RNA (454 nucleotides) under Candidatus Karelsulcia muelleri str. Hc (Homalodisca coagulata). RNAcentral describes it as "bacterial LSU rRNA". It matches the Rfam family "Bacterial large subunit ribosomal RNA", at positions 2342 to 2795 of the family's 2925-position model. Lineage: Bacteria; Pseudomonadati; Bacteroidota; Flavobacteriia; Flavobacteriales. The record is from RNAcentral.
GUAUUGAGUAUAAUGGCCUCAGGGCGCUUGACUGUUAGACUUACGAGUCGUACCGGUACGGCAGUAGGGCAUAGUGAUCCGGUGGUUCUGUAUGGGGCGGCCAUCGCUCCUCGGAUCGUUGGUACUCCGGGGGUCACCGGCUAGUCUCCCCCCCGAGCUCACAUCGUCGGGGAGGUUCGGCCCCUCGAUGUCGGCUCGUCACUUCCUGGGGCUGGAGGAGGUCCCCCGGGUUGGGCUGUUCGCCCCUUCCAGUGGCCCGCGAGCUGGGUUCAGAACGUCGUGAGACCGUUCGGUCUCUUUCUUUUGCGAGCGUUAGAGGCUUGAGUGGUUCUUACUCUUGUACGGGGGGGCCGGGUUGGGCGACCCUCUGGUAUUUCAGUUGUAUCGCCCGGUGCAAUGCUGAGUAGCUAUGUUCGGAUAAGAUAAGCCCUGAAAGCAUAUUAGUGCGAAACUA